This 304-nucleotide ribosomal RNA is filed under the name Exiguobacterium indicum. RNAcentral describes it as "bacterial SSU rRNA". It matches the Rfam family "Bacterial small subunit ribosomal RNA", at positions 31 to 312 of the family's 1533-position model. The record is from RNAcentral. Lineage: Bacteria; Bacillati; Bacillota; Bacilli; Caryophanales.
GAACGCUGGCGGCGUGCCUAAUACAUGCAAGUCGAGCGCAGGAAACUGACGGAACUCUUCGGAGGGAAGGCAGCGGAAUGAGCGGCGGACGGGUGAGUAACACGUAAGGAACCUGCCUCAAGGAUUGGGAUAACUCCGAGAAAUCGGAGCUAAUACCGGAUAGUUCAUCGGACCGCAUGGUCCGUUGAUGAAAGGCGCUUCGGCGUCACCUUGAGAUGGCCUUGCGGUGCAUUAGCUAGUUGGUGGGGUAACGGCCCACCAAGGCGACGAUGCAUAGCCGACCUGAGAGGGUGAUCGGCUCACA